Molecule: ribosomal RNA, 428 nt
Filed under: Duvaucelia manicata
Lineage: Eukaryota; Metazoa; Mollusca; Gastropoda; Nudibranchia; Tritoniidae
Description: partial large subunit ribosomal RNA
Rfam family: Archaeal large subunit ribosomal RNA
Source: RNAcentral
AGCCAUAAGACUAUAUUUUUGGUUAAACCUGCCCAAUGUAGGAUGAAUGGCCGCGGUACUCUGACCGUGCUAAGGUAGCGUAAUCAGUUGGCUUUUAAAUGGAGUCAGGAAUGAAUGGAUUAACCGGGCUUGGCUGUCUCUGAGCUAUUAUUUUGAAUUUACUGUCUAAGUGAAAAAGCUUAGAGUAGGAAAAGGGACGAGAAGACCCUUAGAAUUUUUUCUAAAAAAUUGCUCUUACUGAUUUUGUUGGGGCGACAGAGAAAUAUAUUAAAACUUUCUUUUUUAUACAUGCCGAUUGUAUUAAGACAGGAUAAAUUACCUGAGGGAUAACAGCAUAAUUCUAUAGAUGAGUUUGUGACCUCGAUGUUGGACUAGGAAACUAGCAAGCUAGGCGUUUGUUGUGUGGGUUCUGUUCGAACUUUAAAUCC